UUCCGUCCAGGCGGGCCCAGGACGCAAAUCCGUUUCCUUCAGUAUUGACAGGAUAUCAACGGUGCUUCUAGAUGGACGGUCAUGAUCGCCACUUGGACGGGUGGGGCAGAGGUAGCGAGCUGUGCCACCACCGCAAGCACGAUGCCAUUACUAUCUUCCCCAGUCUCUCCUUCUCUCUGAGUAAAAGAUGAGAAGAAGAGGAAAGGAGGGGAGGGAACAGAGGAAGUGGGCCAUCCCUUGGGAUGGCAUCCGCUUCUCCGCCCUUCCCUUUGCAAAGGAAGAAGAAGAAGAAGAAGAAGAAGAAGAAAAAGAACCCCAAAAGAGAAGAUGCGGCUCUGUCUCCCGUCCUCAUGAUCCAACGUCUCCUCUUCCACCCACUAACCCUAAAUCACCACCACCACCACCAUCACUAUCAGCAUCUGCUCCAUCAGUGGCAGCCCUCGAUCCCGAUUUCUCGGCCCUCCCUUUCGACGUGCUGGCUCACAUCGCCGCCUCCUUCACCGUUCCCAACCUCUGGGCCGCCAGCAUGGUCUGCCGAUUGUGGAGGGAGGCCCUCCGUCCGCUAAGGGAAGCCAUGGUGCUUGUCCGUUGGGGUAAACGGUUCAAGCAUGGCCACGGCGGUGUCCGUCCCAAUCUCCAAAAGGCCCUUGAUUCCUUCCUCAAAGGUGCUGCCCGUGGUUCCACACCCGCGAUGGUCGAUGCUGGCCUCCUCUACUGGGAGAUGGGCAACAAGGAAGAGGGCAUCGCUUGGUAUAGAAAGGCAGCUGCUCUUGGGGACCCCACUGGGCAGUGCAAUCUUGGUAUCUCUUUCUUGCAAGCUGAACCUCCAAGGCAAGAGGAGGCUGUAAAAUGGUUCUACCAAGCUGCAAUUGCAGGCCAUGUUAGAGCUCAAUAUAAUCUCGCACUCAGUCUGCAUCAGGGACGUGGCAUUGAGCGCAAUCUACCAGAAGCUGCUAAGUGGUAUUUAAGAGCAGCAGAAGGUGGAAAUGCGCGUGCAAUGUACAAUACUUCCUUGUGUUACUCCUCUGGUGAAGGAUUAAUGCGAAGCCAUCGACAAGCGAAGAAGUGGAUGAAACGGGCAGCCGACUGUGGUCACAGGAAAGCUCAAUAUGAACACGGCCUCAAACUCUUUUCUAUACAUUCAAAGAAGAGGAAUAGACUCGAGCAACAGAGAUUGAAUGCGUUCGUCUUCGUAAAAUAUAAUCUCCAACUUGAAAUCCGUCAUGCAAAGAGAGAGAGAAGGACCAAUGGCUUGAUCCUAUAUGCUUAUCAGAUAUGGAAUUUGAUGGUGAAUGGAUCACGAAGAAAGAUGAUCCUGCACUUCCUAUAGAUAACACCUGGAUGGACAUAGGUGAAUGAUUUACCAAAGGAUUGGAGGAUGUGCAAGGUGUAGGUGGAUCCACAUCAAGAUCGGAUGGGCGAUGUGGUCCUAGAAAACUUGCUAUUCGAAGUAAAGCGAAGGGAAAAACGAAAGUGGUAGAAGAGGAGGAAGCAAAGUUUAUUUCGACAUCAAAUUUUGAAGAUGAAGAUGAUGUUGAUAAUGUUGACCUCAUUGGUAAUGAGGAGGAUGAUGACACCUUGCAGCCACUAAAUAAUUGAUUCGUUUGGACUUUUUAUUUCCUUUUUGACUUAUAAAAACAAGUGAUAGAGAAUACAUUAUACAUGUAAAUGGGGAUGGGGGAAUGUUAUUUUUUUGAAUCAUAUGGAAAACUAACAUAUGUACAUGGGAUGGGAAAGGGGUUAUUUUUUCAACCUGAUUAUGAUAUGAUGAUACAACACAAUGACAAUGAAUCAAUGAUACAUUUAACAUACAAUUUAUCACAAUUUUAGAUUUAAUUGUUGGGAUUUUUACCUGAAAAUUCCUCUUAGUACGCAAUAUUCUGAUAACAUGCUUUGACCCCUUCAUAUUUACCAAAAGGUUACUACCUCAUUGUAUGGGCAGAAGAUAAAAAGUCCAAACUACCCUUAACAAAGAGUUACGCAUAACUGGUGUCUCCGUCAGUGGGGAAGGGACUUACAAUUUAUGACAAACUAAAAGCUUUGUAUGCACUAACUUAAUUGUGUUCAAGAAAUCCAAUUUGAUGACAAGUUGAGUGAACUAAUUUUAAGUAUAAGUAUCAAAAGCCAACCCCAUCCGUUAUUCAGGUGGACCAUACGAUUGGAAACAUUGUACAUGACGAUGCCCACCCUUCAAAUUGUUUCCCUUGGUGUGACUCAUUUGAAUCAAGGAUUAUUAUUAUUAUAUUUUAAAUGCCCCAAGCGUAAAUGUUUUUUGUGGAAUCUAUUAGUUGGAGUGGAUUUCUUAUAGUCAUUAUGGUGGUCUCUAUAAAAAGCAACGGUUGACUUCUCUCCUAACUCUUCCUUUUGUUGUGGCCCAUCUAAUUCACCCAUCAGCUUGAUUUUUUGGCCUUGGGCCCAAGGUGGAAUUAUGCAUCUAAUGGUCAAAGUGGAUUUCACAUAUACAUCAUGGGUUCGAGUACCCAUUGUGGUGUGCAUGUGAGCGUGAGGGUGUGUGCGUAGG
This is an RNA transcript of Magnolia sinica, 2521 nucleotides long. It is a transcript of the gene named F-box protein At1g70590, with no coding region annotated. The record is from RefSeq and is a predicted model, not a curated record. The transcript has 5 exons. Lineage: Eukaryota; Viridiplantae; Streptophyta; Magnoliopsida; Magnoliales; Magnoliaceae.